GAUGAACGCUGGCGGCGUGCUUAACACAUGCAAGUCGAACGAAGCACUUAAGAUUGAUUCUUCGGAUGACGUCUUUUGUGACUUAGUGGCGGACGGGUGAGUAACGCGUGGGUAACCUGCCUCACACAGGGGGAUAACAGUUAGAAAUGACUGCUAAUACCGCAUAACCCGAUAGGAUCGCAUGAUCCAGACGGAAAAGAUUUAUCGGCGUGAGAUGGACCCGCGUCUGAUUAGCUAGUUGGUGAGGUAACGGCCCACCAAGGCGACGAUCAGUAGCCGGCCUGAGAGGGUGAACGGCCACAUUGGGACUGAGACACGGCCCAAACUCCUACGGGAGGCAGCAGUGGGGAAUAUUGCACAAUGGGGGAAACCCUGAUGCAGCGACGCCGCGUGAGUGAAGAAGUAUUUCGGUAUGUAAAGCUCUAUCAGCAGGGAAGAAAAUGACGGUACCUGACUAAGAAGCCCCGGCUAACUACGUG
Molecule: ribosomal RNA, 479 nt
Filed under: uncultured bacterium
Lineage: Bacteria
Description: partial 16S ribosomal RNA
Rfam family: Bacterial small subunit ribosomal RNA
Source: RNAcentral